GUACUUACCUGGACGGGGUCGACGAGCGAUCAAUAAGGCUCGUGGCCUAGAUCAAUGGCUCACAUUGUACUUGGUGAGUGCGUUGGUCUACCAUCUCCCCAAGCGGGAGGAUGGACGUCGUAAUUUGUGGUAGAGGGGGUACGUGUUCGCGCGGCCCUUG
Molecule: non-coding RNA, 160 nt
Organism: Triticum urartu
Lineage: Eukaryota; Viridiplantae; Streptophyta; Magnoliopsida; Poales; Poaceae
Source: Rfam